Molecule: small RNA, 530 nt
Filed under: Histoplasma capsulatum var. duboisii H88
Lineage: Eukaryota; Fungi; Ascomycota; Eurotiomycetes; Onygenales; Ajellomycetaceae
Description: Histoplasma capsulatum H88 hypothetical RNA
Source: RNAcentral
CUCCUUCUUUGCACUGCUCCUCAGCCGCUGGACCUGUGUCUCAUACGCAAAAGCGUUCUGCGGCGCCGCCUUCGUGCCUGGUACGAUUGACUACUGGCCAAGUCUCAAACACACCGUUACUAGUCCUCUGCCAUCAUUGGUAUUGUGUUCCAAUUAUUGGGUCCAGGCUUUGGCCGUGCGGCCCGUCUGGGCUGGAAGGGUUCAGCUUGGCUACGUAGAGUAUUUUCCUCCAUAGUCGACUAAUGACAUCCAUCCAUUGCCUGGACACUGCAACUCACAAGCGAACUCUGAGAACAAUGAACCAUGAGAGGCAGCUAAAAGUUACGCGAUGACAUGAGAGAGGUGGUGAUAUUUCUUCCCGAGUCGCCACCCUUUGCUUUUUGCUCGAACGUCAACUUGCACGGAACAUUUCACGUCCAAAUAUUAUUGUCACUGGACAAUUCACCAAACGGGGAGAGCAGAACGAGCCUAUUAUUUAAGAGAAUACAAUGGAUAUUUAUUCUAGUAUUUUUUGCACACAAGUUACUUAC